AUGUUUCUUAAGCAUGUGGGGGUCCAACACGUGCAUGAGAGAUCUAGUCGUAGCGACCAUGAGGUAGAACAGGAAGCGCAGAAGAGGGGAACAGACGAGCUUCAGGCCCGUGUUGAAACCUUGACCAAUCAGUUAAAGGAAUCAGAAGAAGCAAGGAUCAGGCAAGAAGAAGCAAGGACCAAGCAAGAAGAGGAGAACAUGAAAAAGCAAUAG
RNAcentral lists this ribosomal RNA (213 nucleotides) under Triticum aestivum (bread wheat). Its description in RNAcentral is "partial small subunit ribosomal RNA". Lineage: Eukaryota; Viridiplantae; Streptophyta; Magnoliopsida; Poales; Poaceae. The record is from RNAcentral.